RNAcentral lists this ribosomal RNA (663 nucleotides) under uncultured cyanobacterium. Its description in RNAcentral is "bacterial SSU rRNA". It matches the Rfam family "Bacterial small subunit ribosomal RNA", at positions 98 to 795 of the family's 1533-position model. The record is from RNAcentral. Lineage: Bacteria; Bacillati; Cyanobacteriota.
UCGGACGGGUGAGUAACGCGUGAGAAUCUACCCUUAGGAGGGGAAUAACAGCUGGAAACGGCUGCUAAGACCCCAUAUGCCGAGAGGUGAAAAAGAUUUCUGCCUAAGGAAGAGCUCGCGGCUGAUUAGCUAGUUGGUAGGAUAAAAGACUACCAAGGCAACGAUCAGUAGCUGGUUUGAGAGGACGAUCAGCCACACUGGGACUGAGACACGGCCCAGACUCCUACGGGAGGCAGCAGUGGGGAAUCUUCUGCAAUGGGCGAAAGCCUGACAGAGCAAUACCGCGUGAGGGAUAAAAGCCUGAGGGUCGUAAACCUCUUUUUUCAGGGAAGAAAUUUGACGGUACCUGAAGAAUAAGCAUCGGCUAACUCCGUGCCAGCAGCCGCGGUAAUACGGAGGAUGCAAGCGUUAUCCGGAAUCACUGGGCGUAAAGCGUCUGUAGGUGGCUUUUCAAGUCUGCUGUUAAAGACUGAGGCUUAACCUCAGAAAAGCAGUGGAAACUGACAAGCUAGAGCAUGGUAGGGGUAAAGGGAAUUCCCAGUGUAGCGGUGAAAUGCGUAGAUAUUGGGAAGAACACCUGUGGCGAAAGCGCUUUACUGGACCAUUGCUGACACUGAGAGACGAAAGCUAGGGGAGCGAAUGGGAUUAGAUACCCCAGUAGUC